RNAcentral lists this ribosomal RNA (460 nucleotides) under uncultured bacterium. RNAcentral describes it as "bacterial SSU rRNA". It matches the Rfam family "Bacterial small subunit ribosomal RNA", at positions 340 to 786 of the family's 1533-position model. The record is from RNAcentral.
UACGGAAGGCAGCAGUGGGGAAUAUUGCACAAUGGGCGAAAGCCUGAUGCAGCUAUGCCGCGUGUAUGAAGAAGGCCUUAGGGUUGUAAAGUACUUUCAUCGGGGAGGAAAAACAAAACUAAUAAUUUUAUUUCUUGACGUUACCCGAAAAAGAAGCACCGGCUAACUCCGUGCCAGCAGCCGCGGUAAUACGGAGGGUGCUAGCGUUAAUCAGAAUUACUGGGCGUAAAAGAGCACGUAGGUGGUUUUUUUAAGUCAGAUGUGAAAUCCCUGGGCUUAACCUAGGAACUGCAUUUUGAAAACUGAAAUACUAGAGUAUCGUAGAGGGAGGUAGAAUUCUAGGUGUAGCGGUGAAAUGCGUAGAUAUCUGGAGGAAUACCUGUGGCGAAAAGCGGCCUCCUAAACGAAUACUGACACUGAGGUGCGAAAAGCGUGGGGAGCAAAACAGGGAUUAGAUACC